Molecule: ribosomal RNA, 279 nt
Filed under: uncultured bacterium
Lineage: Bacteria
Description: partial 16S ribosomal RNA
Rfam family: Bacterial small subunit ribosomal RNA
Source: RNAcentral
UGCCAGCCGCCGCGGUAAUACGGAGGGGGUUAGCGUUGUUCGGAAUUACUGGGCGUAAAGCGCACGUAGGCGGACUAUUAAGUAGAGGGUGAAAUCCCGGGGCUCAACCCCGGAACUGCCUUCUAUACUGGUAGUCUUGAGUUCGAGAGAGGUGAGUGGAAUUCCGAGUGUAGAGGUGAAAUUCGUAGAUAUUGGGAAGAACACCAGUGGCGAAGGCGGCUAACUGGCUCGGUACUGACGCUGAGAUGCGAAAGCGUGGGGAGCAAACAGGAUUAGAUA